Molecule: small RNA, 75 nt
Filed under: Xanthomonas campestris
Lineage: Bacteria; Pseudomonadati; Pseudomonadota; Gammaproteobacteria; Lysobacterales; Lysobacteraceae
Description: sRNA sX9
Rfam family: Xanthomonas sRNA sX9
Source: RNAcentral
AUGUAUCCGCGGACACUCCGGUUCCUCCGCGCUGUCCGCACCCGCCUGACAAUUACUCGCCAUGUUGUGUUCGCU